This 65-nucleotide transfer RNA is filed under the name Psolodesmus mandarinus. RNAcentral describes it as "tRNA-Thr". It matches the Rfam family "tRNA". Rfam says of the family: Transfer RNA (tRNA) molecules are approximately 80 nucleotides in length. The record is from RNAcentral. Lineage: Eukaryota; Metazoa; Arthropoda; Insecta; Odonata; Calopterygidae.
GUUAUAGUAGUUUAUAAAAACAAUGGUCUUGUAAACCAAAAUUGAGAUAAAUUUCUCCUAAAACU